GCAAUUGGGCCGAGUGGUUAAGGCGAUAGACUUGAAUUCUAUUCCUCUCUGAGGGCGUAGGUUCUAACCCUACCAACUGCG
RNAcentral lists this transfer RNA (81 nucleotides) under Daphnia pulex (common water flea). It matches the Rfam family "tRNA". Rfam says of the family: Transfer RNA (tRNA) molecules are approximately 80 nucleotides in length. Their secondary structure includes four short double-helical elements and three loops (D, anti-codon, and T loops). Lineage: Eukaryota; Metazoa; Arthropoda; Branchiopoda; Diplostraca; Daphniidae. The record is from Rfam by way of RNAcentral.